Molecule: long non-coding RNA, 748 nt
Organism: Nerophis lumbriciformis (worm pipefish)
Lineage: Eukaryota; Metazoa; Chordata; Actinopteri; Syngnathiformes; Syngnathidae
Source: RefSeq, a predicted model, not a curated record
CUGGUCGCUCUUUGGCACACCCAACGGCGCCGGCGGAUGGACCCCCGGCAGGCACGGCGCAGGACCUGCUCGACCCUGCCGCGCCGCUGCCAGAACUGGCGCCGGGUUUCCAGCUCGGGAUGGAGAUCUUGGCAUAGUUGACUUUGCGAGACUUGUGUUGGCUCUAGGAACCAACACACCAAGGAUGUUGUAGCUGCCAACAGACAGUUUUGAAUUCUCACGGCAUGCUCAACAUCAUUAAAUGCUGGUUGAAAAAAAGGAACAUUUGGUCUGGUACUUUUGACUGGAGGGAGUAACAGUGAGAACUCAAGCCAGCUCAACACGCGGUGAGAAGACAAGUUCUACGCCACGUUGGACUGAGCUCCAACCAAGUUUCUCAGUUUCUACAGAUGUGCGGUGGAGAGCACCCAGAGCACCAGCAUAACGAUGUGACACAGCAGCUUCACAGCUAAAGAGAGGAAGGCACAGCAAAGCAAAAAGGAAGCAUCCUAAUGAAGAACUUCUACAAUAUUCGAUGGAGGAAGAAGACACGGCAUUAAGAAUCUACCACAUUGCAAGACCAAUAUCACUAUGGGACCGUGACACCUCUACUCUUAUGAGAAUAAAGAGUGUCACAGGUUUCCAUUUUAUUUUUCGCUCCCCAAAUCCUGGAUGAACAGUCAAGCGCUCCGAGUCUUGAGGAGCGAAGAGAGGAGUGUUCUGACUCUACCAGAAACAAAACCUGAUUGACGGCCAUCAAUGUCACAAG